Molecule: ribosomal RNA, 431 nt
Filed under: uncultured bacterium
Lineage: Bacteria
Description: bacterial SSU rRNA
Rfam family: Bacterial small subunit ribosomal RNA
Source: RNAcentral
GGACCCGCACAAGCAGUGGAGCAUGUGGCUUAAUUCGAGGCAACGCGAAGAACCUUACCUGGUCUUGACAUGCCCGUCAUAGUUUUCCGAAAGGAAUUCGUCAGUUCGGCUGGACGGUGCACAGGUGCUGCAUGGCUGUCGUCAGCUCGUGUCGUGAGAUGUUCGGUUAAGUCCGGCAACGAGCGCAACCCUCGUUCCUAGUUGCCAGCGGGUAAUGCCGGGGACUCUAGGAAGACAAACCUCGUGUAGAGGUGGGAAGGUGGGGACGACGUCAAGUCAGUAUGGCCCUUACGACCAGGGCUGCACACGUGCUACAAUGCCCAGCACAAUGGGAUGCAACGCCGCGAGGUUGAGCAAAUCCACAAAACUGGGCCCAGUUCGGAUUGGAGUCUGCAACUCGACUCCAUGAAGUCGGAAUCGCUAGUAAUGAC